This 263-nucleotide unclassified non-coding RNA is filed under the name Hevea brasiliensis (rubber tree). The record is from RNAcentral. Lineage: Eukaryota; Viridiplantae; Streptophyta; Magnoliopsida; Malpighiales; Euphorbiaceae.
GAGAUUGGAAAGAUGAUUGGCAGGGAGGCUUUGUAGCUAAUUUUGGUAGUGUGUCUUGGGAUGGCGCUGAAUUAGGGGCCAUGAAAGAAGGGUUGCAUUUGGCUUGACAAAAGGGUGUUUCGCAAUUGAUGAUAGAGUGUGAUAAUUUAGAAGUUGUUCCUUGGGUUAAUGGUGAUAAAGAGCCUGUGAAAAGUUUGAGGACUUCAGUUAACUCUAUUGAGAAGCUGAUUUUGUUUGGCUGGGAAGUGCAAAUCAAGCAUAUU